GACGAACGCUGGCGGCGCGCUUAACACAUGCAAGUCGAACGGAAAGGCCUGCUUUCCCUUGUGGAUUGCGGGUACUCGAGUGGCGGACGGGUGAGUAACACGUGAGUGAUCUGCCCCCAACUUGGGUAUAAGCCUGGGAAACUGGGUCUAAUUCCCGAUAGGACUGCAGGGUGGUGCCUGUGGUGGAAAACGAUUUUCUAGUGGUUGGGGAUGAGCUCGCGGCCUAUCAGCUUGUUGGUGGGGUAAUGGCCUACCAAGGCGGCGACGGGUAGCCGGCCUGAGAGGGUGGACGGCCACAGUGGGACUGAGAUACGGCCCAGACUCCUACGGGAGGCAGCAGUGGAGAAUAUUGCACAAUGGGCGGAAGCCUGAUGCAGCGACGCCGCGUGGGGGAUGACGGCCUUCGGGUUGUAAACUCCUUUCGACCGCGAGGAAGCCACCUGGUUGGAAGGGUGGUGACGGUAGUGGUAGAAGAAGCACCGGCUAACUACGUG
Molecule: ribosomal RNA, 494 nt
Filed under: uncultured bacterium
Lineage: Bacteria
Description: partial 16S ribosomal RNA
Rfam family: Bacterial small subunit ribosomal RNA
Source: RNAcentral